Molecule: ribosomal RNA, 497 nt
Filed under: uncultured bacterium
Lineage: Bacteria
Description: partial 16S ribosomal RNA
Rfam family: Bacterial small subunit ribosomal RNA
Source: RNAcentral
GAUGAACGCUGGCGGCGUGCCUAAUACAUGCAAGUCGAGCGAACAGACGAGGAGCUUGCUCCUUUGACGUUAGCGGCGGACGGGUGAGUAACACGUAGGUAACCUACCUAUAAGACUGGGAUAACUUCGGGAAACCGGAGCUAAUACCGGAUAAUAUUUCGAACCGCAUGGUUCGAUAGUGAAAGAUGGCUUUGCUAUCACUUAUAGAUGGAUCUGCGCUGUAUUAGCUAGUUGGUAAGGUAACGGCUUACCAAGGCAACGAUACGUAGCCGACCUGAGAAGGUGAUCGGCCACACUGGAACUGAGACACGGUCCAGACUCCUACGGGAGGCAGCAGUAGGGAAUCUUCCGCAAUGGGCGAAAGCCUGACGGAGCAACGCCGCGUGAGUGAUGAAGGUCUUCGGAUCGUAAAACUCUGUUAUUAGGGAAGAACAAACGUGUAAGUAACUGUGCACGUCUUGACGGUACCUAAUCAGAAAGCCACGGCUAACUACGUG